UACGGAGGGUGCGAGCGUUAAUCGGAUUUAUUGGGUUUAAAGGGUGCGUAGGUGGUCGAUUAAGCCAGUGGUGAAAGCCCGCAGCUCAACUGUGGAAUUGCCAUUGAUACUGGUUGACUUGAGUAUAGAUGAGGUAGGCGGAAUUUAUGGUGUAGCGGUGAAAUGCAUAGAUACCAUAAAGAACACCGAUAGCGAAGGCAGCUUACUAAACUAUAACUGACACUGAGGCACGAAAGCGUGGGGAGCGAACAGG
This 253-nucleotide unclassified non-coding RNA is filed under the name uncultured Cyclobacteriaceae bacterium. RNAcentral's name for it is "contains 16S-23S intergenic spacer region". It matches the Rfam family "Bacterial small subunit ribosomal RNA", at positions 524 to 776 of the family's 1533-position model. Lineage: Bacteria; Pseudomonadati; Bacteroidota; Cytophagia; Cytophagales; Cyclobacteriaceae. The record is from RNAcentral.